AUUGUACAGUACGAUAGAGAAGUGCACCAGUUACUCAUACACAAGUAGUGGGUCAGAAAGUUAUUACAGUACAAAAGACUGAAGUUCACCAGUUACUCGUACACAAGGAGAGGGUCAGAAAGAUAGUAUAGUACAGAAGAGAAGUGCACUAGAGAGGGUCAGAAAAAUAGUGCAGUACAAAAGAGAAGUGCAUCAGGUCCGUAAAAACUUGGCUGAGAGUACUAAUACUAGUACAAAGUUAACAGCUCUACAAUUUUUUGUUUUUAUUUACUGAU
Amphimedon queenslandica is the source of this 275-nucleotide long non-coding RNA. RefSeq lists it as uncharacterized. The transcript is spliced from 5 exons. The record is from RefSeq and is a predicted model, not a curated record. NCBI's taxonomy places the organism in Eukaryota, Metazoa, Porifera, Demospongiae, Haplosclerida, Niphatidae.